CCAAUUUAUAUUAUUUUUUUACAAAUUAAAAAAAAAGUUAUUUUAAACAUGUUUGGAAAAAAAAGUUAAUUAAAAUCAACAUUUUUCUUCUUUAAACUUUUAAUAAUAUUCAGGUAUUUUACCAUUGAAAAGUAAUUGUACAUCGUCUUCCCCUACUUAACAUGUAAUUAUUUAAUUGCUGCCGUAUAUAUAUAUUUUUAGUAUUCUUAAGAAUUGCUCAGCCAUUUGCCAUAUAUUUCUUAUUCUGCAAAAUUCAUGAAUGGUUACAUGAUACCUUUAGUUACCACUCUAGUACCUGAUGCUAUUUUUAAUGCAUUCAUUGAAGAUUCAAGGUUAAUGUACUAUUUAAAAAUCACAAACAUAUUUGAAAUAAAACUAUGCAUAUAUGUGGCUCAUGUUUACUUGCAUCCAAACCAUUUCUCAUACGUACAUUUUUAGAAUAAGUACCUUAAUAUUCUGCUGAAAACAUUUUGCAUAGUGUUAGGAUCCUAUUGCUGCUUAACAUCUGCCUUUAACAAUAGAUUUUCCAUGUAUUAGAUAAUUGGAUGUUUUCGUUGCUUUAUUUAGCUUGAACUUUAUGAAAUCAUUUAAUGCGUCAUUGCUGCUUGGUCCUCUGCUGGUUAGAUUCCAUCCACUCCAUAGUGAAGUUCUUCAAGUAUAAGUUUAGAUACAAAGUUCGACUGUGGGAUGCAAAUGCUGCUGAGUGUUUAGGUAACCUUAAAAUUCGAGCAUCAGAGCAACAAUGGCUGCAAUUACAGACCCCUUUAUAUGUGGCAAGUCUACAUGUAAACUAUUUCUUCUUCUCUUAUAAUAGUUUCAUGUCACAAGUUUUAAAGAAUGGUCUAAAAAAAUCCCUAUGCUUUUUUCUUAUAUUUUCUCAUUUCACCCUUUAAUGGUACUUGCUUUUUAGAGAGAGAGAGAGAGUGAGAGAAAUAAAUUGGUCCAAGGAUCGAAAUCUGCAAUUUUUAGUUGAGUUUGACGAUGAUAUGAGCUUCUUUAAUGAAAUUCUGAAGCCAUUACUUUUAUUGUUUACUUAUGUUAAUUUCACAAUAUUUUAAUUAUUUCUCUUCUUUAACUUCGUUUAUUUCUCUUCUUUUUCUUGGUUUAUCCUUUCUUCUUCUCUCUCAACUUUACAAAGGUUCUCUGUGAAUUUUUUUUUUUUUAUAGAUUUGUUUUUCCACCAAAUAAUUUUGAUUUUUGAUUCAGUUGAACUUUAGGAGGAGUAUAGGGCUUCUUAUGCUGAAGACGAUGCUUUUCAUUUCCUAGACAACAAUGAUAUUCAUGAGUAUUUAUAAUAAAUUAUUUUUAUUGAACUCUGGACGUUUACAAAUUAAUUUUUGUUUCUGGAUUGGAAGAAUCAAGUGAAUUGAAUUAUUUGGACUUGUUUUUAAGGCUAAAAGAAAAAGGAAGAUUUUUCAAAAAUGAAACUUAAACCUCAUCAUGUCAAUCAUUCGUUGUGGGCUUGUGCUGAUGGUCAAAUUUUUCUCAAAACUUUUUCCCGUGUACAAACAAGCCUAUAACUUCCUCAUUGCCAUUGUUGAACCUAUUUUCAGGUAUCAUUUUAAUCAAUAUACUAUGAUUAUAUGUGUCACGUGUUUGACCCAUUGCUUAGAUACUACGAUACAAAAAUUGAGAGUUGAUGGCUCAUAGUAGUAUUACUCUAUGGCAAAGAGUAAAAAUAAAAGGAUUAAUGGCUCUAUAGUGGUUGUACUUUAGAAGAGAGGUACAAUUGACAUUGAGCUACUACACUUGCAUAGUUGAACUUGCAGGUUUAUUGAUUUCGAAUGUAAUUGGAAUUUAAUUUUAAUUUUUAUACUUUCUAUUUUACAGGCUCGAGUCAAUGCAUGAGUACAAUUUCGCGUCACACUGUAUAUGUCACGGUGGGAAUGUUUGUACUUCCAUGAAGGGACAUGGUAUUGAUGUACAACAACAAAAAUGGUUGUCAUUGACCUAUAAAAUGCAAAAAAUUUGCUGCUAUGCACAAACUCAACUUGGUCAUGGCUUCAACAUACAAGGCCUUGAAACCACUACAACAUUUGACCAUAAGGCUGAUGAAUCUGUAGUUCAUACUCUAACAUUGACUUUAAGCGAAGUAAGAAACAUGAUAGAUAAGAGGUUGGUAAUGUUUCAUGUUCCUGUUAAACAUUGGGACAAAUGCUUUUUCACUACACAUCUAAUUAUUGUAUUAUAGUUGUUUUCUUAUCCACUUACGUUUCUAAUUUCUUAUGCUAUAUUUUAUGUAUCUUCCUCGAAUUCCUCAAAUUUGUUCUAUAUUUUCUGUCUUAUUUUCCGAAUAGUGGUGUCCUGAUGGACUAGGUAAAUUGUCCACCCAUGCGGUUGUUUAUGCAUGCCAUUACAAUGGUAAAGAUCAUGGAGUUCAUGGUAAGAAUAUAUAGCCUCUAUUGACAUUGAUAUCCAAUUUUGUUCUUGCACAUGUUAGUCCAAGUUUUCAUAUUGUUUAGGCUUUAUUGUCCAACUACAGAACUUGGAGGACCACACUCUUUCGAGAAUCAUCC
This 2516-nucleotide long non-coding RNA is filed under the name Olea europaea subsp. europaea. Lineage: Eukaryota; Viridiplantae; Streptophyta; Magnoliopsida; Lamiales; Oleaceae. The record is from RNAcentral.